CGAUGGCGGCGCUGUCUCCACCCGAGACUCAGUGAAAUUGAAAUCGCUGUGAAGAUGCAGUGUAUCCGCGGCUAGACGGAAAGACCCCGUGAACCUUUACUAUAGCUUUGCACUGGACUUUGAAUUUGCUUGUGUAGGAUAGGUGGGAGGCUUUGAAGUGGGGACGCCAGUUCUCAUGGAGCCAUCCUUGAAAUACCACCCUGGCAACUUUGAGGUUCUAACUCAGGUCCGUUAUCCGGAUCGAGGACAGUGUAUGGUGGGUAGUUUGACUGGGGCGGUCUCCUCCCAAAGAGUAACGGAGGAGUACGAAGGUGCGCUCAGACCGGUCGGAAAUCGGUCGUAGAGUAUAAAGGCAAAAGCGCGCUUGACUGCGAGACAAACACGUCGAGCAGGUACGAAAGUAGGUCUUAGUGAUCCGGUGGUUCUGU
This 428-nucleotide ribosomal RNA is filed under the name Klebsiella pneumoniae. RNAcentral describes it as "partial 23S ribosomal RNA". It matches the Rfam family "Bacterial large subunit ribosomal RNA", at positions 2005 to 2432 of the family's 2925-position model. Lineage: Bacteria; Pseudomonadati; Pseudomonadota; Gammaproteobacteria; Enterobacterales; Enterobacteriaceae. The record is from RNAcentral.